RNAcentral lists this ribosomal RNA (253 nucleotides) under uncultured bacterium. Its description in RNAcentral is "partial 16S ribosomal RNA". It matches the Rfam family "Bacterial small subunit ribosomal RNA", at positions 524 to 776 of the family's 1533-position model. The record is from RNAcentral.
UACGGGGGGAGCAAGCGUUGUUCGGAAUUACUGGGCGUAAAGGGCGCGUAGGCGGCCUUCUAAGUCGAACGUGAAAUCCCUGGGCUCAACCCAGGAACUGCGUCCGAUACUGAAAGGCUUGAAUCCGGGAGAGGGAUGCGGAAUUCCAGGUGUAGCGGUGAAAUGCGUAGAUAUCUGGAGGAACACCGGUGGCGAAGGCGACGUCCUGGACCGGUAUUGACGCUGAGGCGCGAAAGCCAGGGGAGCAAACGGG